UGUGCCAAUGGCUAAACAAAA
This 21-nucleotide non-coding RNA is filed under the name Caenorhabditis elegans. Lineage: Eukaryota; Metazoa; Nematoda; Chromadorea; Rhabditida; Rhabditidae. The record is from RNAcentral.